CUAGUACCUCACGCACGCUAGGCAAGUGCUCUACCACUGAGCCAAGACUCCAGCCCCCAACUGGCAAUUAUUAUACAAUGUAAAAUUGUUGUCUUUUUGGUUCCCAUUUUUCUUGGACAAUGUACCCCAACUGUACCCUAACAGCAUAGAAUAUUAAUGUUUGUCUAGAUGUUUGUAACCAUUCUUUGACUUGUACUCAACUAGGAUAGUUUUGAUCCACUCUCCUUCUGCUUAUAAUUUUAGACCUCAUGAUUUUUGUUUAUGGUUUUAAAUCAUAGCAACAGCCACUUAAGAUCAAUAUACUGACAUGCAUUAAAAGGUGUGCUCUAACCCUUCAAGGGUGUCAUAUGGUGGAGACUUGCAGCCUGCUCCUUGGCCCGCCAGCUGGUGAAUGUGGACCACCAGCUGGUGAAAAAAGAUGGUUCCAACUCAGGCUUCAAGACUGAGCUGGUGAUUUAUUGCAAUCUUGCCAUAACAUCAACACUCUUUUAACUGUGUAGCAAAGUAACUUGUUUAAGACCACAUUGGCAGAAAGUAUAAAUCUGCAAUUUGAAUUCAAUUAUCUGUGACCCCAAAACAGUUUUGGGCUACUGAAAUUUCCUGGGGACUUACUGAGAGAUAAGAAGUCUCCAGGAUCACUGGAUAUCCCUAGCUUAUUAUGAUAUUAGCAUUUUCAGCUAAUAAACAGCCUUAAAUUUUGC
This 701-nucleotide long non-coding RNA is filed under the name Marmota monax (woodchuck). The record is from RNAcentral. Lineage: Eukaryota; Metazoa; Chordata; Mammalia; Rodentia; Sciuridae.